Molecule: ribosomal RNA, 252 nt
Filed under: uncultured bacterium
Lineage: Bacteria
Description: partial 16S ribosomal RNA
Rfam family: Bacterial small subunit ribosomal RNA
Source: RNAcentral
UACGGAGGAUGCGAGCGUUAUCCGGAUUUAUUGGGUUUAAAGGGUGCGCAGGCGGCGCCCCAAGUCAGCGGUCAAAUCGAGGGGCUCAACCCCUUUCCGCCGUUGAAACUGGGGGGCUAGAGUGGGCGAGAAGUAGGCGGAACGCGUGGUGUAGCGGUGAAAUGCAUAGAUAUCACGCAGAACCCCGAUUGCGAAGGCAGCCUACCGGCGCUCUACUGACGCUCAUGCACGAAAGCGCGGGGAUCGAACAGG